GUUUUCCCGCCAUUUUUUUACCGCGAUAGAAUUUGACCAAGACUUGAAUAGGUCUCGUGAAAUCAAAAAAGUUCUAGGUGCUAUAGUUUUGCCAGGCCGUAGGGUGACCCCUGAUGCGGAGCAGUUUUCCAAGAUGAUGUUCCAAUCACACCCCAAUACAUCAUUUUUACCUCUGAGACAUUUUCUGGAAAAACAAAAAUUUGUAUGGCGGCCAUCUUGAUUUUCGGCCAUUUUGUUUUUUUUUUUUUCACUGGCGAUAAAAUUUGACCAAGACUUUAAUAGGCUUCGUGAAAACAAAAAAGUUCCAGGUGCGAUAGUUUCGCCAGGCUGUAGGGUGUCUCCCUGAUGCGGAGCAGCUUUCGAAGAUCGAAAAGUAUUUCCAUACUCAACAUGAUGUUUCGAUCACAUUCCUCAUACAUCAUUUUUACCCCCGAGGCAUUUUCGGGAAAAACGAAAAUUUUGUAUGGCGGCCAUCUUGUUUUUCCGCCAUUUUGUUUUUUUUUCAGCGGGGAUUGGAUUUGACCAAGAUUUAAAUAU
RNAcentral lists this long non-coding RNA (537 nucleotides) under Pectinophora gossypiella (pink bollworm). RNAcentral describes it as "uncharacterized LOC126381223". Lineage: Eukaryota; Metazoa; Arthropoda; Insecta; Lepidoptera; Gelechiidae. The record is from RNAcentral.